GGGAAACUGCCCGAUGGAGGGGGAUAACUACUGGAAACGGUAGCUAAUACCGCAUAACGUCGCAAGACCAAAGUGGGGGACCUUCGGGCCUCACACCAUCGGAUGUGCCCAGAUGGGAUUAGCUAGUAGGUGGGGUAAUGGCUCACCUAGGCGACGAUCCCUAGCUGGUCUGAGAGGAUGACCAGCCACACUGGAACUGAGACACGGUCCAGACUCCUACGGGAGGCAGCAGUGGGGAAUAUUGCACAAUGGGCGCAAGCCUGAUGCAGCCAUGCCGCGUGUAUGAAGAAGGCCUUCGGGUUGUAAAGUACUUUCAGCGGGGAGGAAGGCGGUGAAGUUAAUAACUUCACCGAUUGACGUUACCCGCAGAAGAAGCACCGGCUAACUCCGUGCCAGCAGCCGCGGUAAUACGGAGGGUGCAAGCGUUAAUCGGAAUUACUGGGCGUAAAGCGCACGCAGGCGGUCUGUCAAGUCGGAUGUGAAAUCCCCGGGCUUAACCUGGGAACUGCAUUCGAAACUGGCAGGCUGGAGUCUUGUAGAGGGGGGUAGAAUUCCAGGU
RNAcentral lists this ribosomal RNA (559 nucleotides) under uncultured bacterium. RNAcentral describes it as "bacterial SSU rRNA". It matches the Rfam family "Bacterial small subunit ribosomal RNA", at positions 120 to 674 of the family's 1533-position model. The record is from RNAcentral.